Long non-coding RNA from Columba livia (rock pigeon), 2273 nucleotides. RefSeq lists it as uncharacterized. NCBI's taxonomy places the organism in Eukaryota, Metazoa, Chordata, Aves, Columbiformes, Columbidae. The transcript has 4 exons. The record is from RefSeq and is a predicted model, not a curated record.
GUGCCUUCCACAUAAAAAAAUGUUGCUGCAUUUCUUUGGCAGGAACAAGGAUGAACCAGUGUAAAGGUGCUUGUGUGUAGGCUGUUGGAGAUUCAGUGUCUGAAGAAAGUGGUACCUGUGUUAAGCGUGUUUGUGUUAGGGCUUUUAACACAGUACCUAUGGCAGCAAAAAAAUAGAUUCCUCAUGUGACAUGGCCGACAGUAUGUCCAGGAACAUGGCAGCCAUGAUGAAGGGACAACUCUGAGGAGCCUAAAAAUGAACAAGAAGACAUAGUGUCAGGGAGAUGUUCUCAGUGAGGCAGAAUUCACCUCCCUCAGUUCCACCAAAGGUUAAGGGCCUUGCCACAGCUGAUUUCCUGAUUUCUAAUUGUGUGUUGCACUGCCCAGAUUAAGUUUUCUUUUUACAGUACUUCCAAAAUGUGACUCCUCUCAGCACAUUUUGCCUGAGAUUAUUUUCAUCCUCUACCUUCUGGUAUGAGGGAAAACUGAGGUGUGGACUGAUGAAAUGGUUUGUACAGUGCUGCCCAGCAAAUCAGUGUUGCAGCUGACUCAGAAUUAUUGAUGCUUGACUGUGACUUCAUGAUCAUUAAUACUGAAUCUGUGCCUCACAGCUACGGUUUCAAUUGGGCAUAAAUACAAACCUUUGUGUCAAGCUAGCUGGGUAUAAGCAUGGUAUAUAGCGCUUAUAUCCUGUCACAGAACAGGCUUCCUAGAGAGUCUGUCAAAGCCCCAAGAUCAUCAGUGUUUAAGAGGCAUUUGGACAAUGCCCUUAAUAUUAUUUAACUUUUGGUCAGCCUAGAAUUGGUCAGAGGGUUGGACUAGAUGAUUGUUGUAGGUCCUUUCCGACUGAAAUAUUCAAUGAUUCUAUUCUAUUCCAUUCUAUUCUGUGGACACUGACCUUCUGUGGGGAGGCUUGAAAAAGUCUCUACCUUUCAGCCCAAGAGCAGCUGAGGCAAAGAUGCCCUUGCAAAGUGCUUGGCCGCUUUUGAAAAAAAAAAAACCAACAACUGAAUUCUGUGCCAUGUUCUGGGUUAUGUGGCUAUGGAAAUCCUGACCUUGCAUCAGGUCCUGCAAAACUGCAAUUUGCCACCCUAUGAAAGCAUGACUUUCAACUCCUGUAACCACUGCUGAACUUCCCAUCUCACUAAUACCCAUCUGCGCUUUUUUUUUUUUUCCCCCAAUACUGUAUAAACUUUGCUUUUCAUCUGUUCCUGUGAGGUAGGGAAAUGGAAUGAUACUUUCAUUUGACAGUUCAGGAAAAGGAGAAAGUGGCUAAAUAAGAGCUCCCUGCCGGUGUGGCAGCUGCUGUCCGGAGUCCCCAGAAAACCCAUCAGUGAUACUCACCCACAGCUAAGUGGAGCUGCAAUACAGCUAUGAAGAGUCCCAAGGCAGACAAGACUAAUACAUCCAAGAAAAACAAGUAACACAAAGCAUCAGUCCCUAUGGAUAUAUGGUGUACAAUUCCAAAGCAUAGGUGUCAUUAGCAGCUACUACACCCAAACAGAGAGGACUGCAGACUCUGAAGUAGGCACAGCAGCUGAGAUUAGUGUGUGUACACAUAAAUUGUCCAUCAACCCUGCUCAUUUCCACCUCUGAAGGAUCUGCCUCUCUGGUCUGGGUGACAGUGACAGGCUGGCUGACACAAUCAGCCAUGCAAUGUGUUUUCCUCUUCAUGAUAUCAUGCACUGGGCACAACUGGGAGAGAGAGAGAGCACAGCUCAGUUUGGUCCAGAUGCAGAAGUGAGGGAGGGAACCUGUCGUGGGGCCAGUGACUCUCCAGAUGUGUGCUCCUCUGCUCUGCCUGCCUGCUCUCUUCCCUGACCUCCAGCUCAACGGAAACUUCUGGAAACAUCUUUUGUGGCUCCAAGGGAUAGGACAGUAUGGUGGGAGUUUUACUCCCCAUUUUCUUUCCAGAGUUAACCCAUUCACCUGAAAACUAUUUCAAUGAAGCUAAUAAACUAGAUGAAGAGGAUAAAAAAAAAUAACCUCUUCCUCCUCUGCUCUCCAUCUCCUCUGAUAUUUUCAGUAUCUUGUUAAAUUUAACAGCUUACAAAUUCACAUAGAAGUGGAAAAUAUCUUUGUUUGUAGCAAGCAUUUUAACCCAUAUUGAUGUAACUAUCACUUCUGUAAAUCUGGGUAAAGUUUGUUAUUUCAACCCACUUGUACAGACUUCAAAAUCUUUUCUGCUAGUCCAUAAUCUGCUUUCUAAACCCCUGAGAAGUUUAUUAGAGUCCAUCAAAGGAAUGGAAUAAACUCUAGAACACUUGAAGUCCA